GACGAACGCUGGCGGCGUGCCUAAUGCAUGCAAGUAGAACGCACAGUUUAUACCGUAGCUUGCUACACCAUAAACUGUGAGUUGCGAACGGGUGAGUAACGCGUAGGUAACCUGCCUGGUAGCGGGGGAUAACUAUUGGAAACGAUAGCUAAUACCGCAUAAUAUUGAUUAUUGCAUGAUAAUUGAUUGAAAGAUGCUAUUGCAUCACUACCAGAUGGACCUGCGUUGUAUUAGCUAGUAGGUGAGGUAACGGCUCACCUAGGCGACGAUACAUAGCCGACCUGAGAGGGUGAUCGGCCACACUGGGACUGAGACACGGCCCAGACUCCUACGGGAGGCAGCAGUAGGGAAUCUUCGGCAAUGGACGAAAGUCUGACCGAGCAACGCCGCGUGAGUGAAGAAGGUUGUCGGAUCGUAAAGCUCUGUUGUAAGAGAAGAACGGGUGUGAGAGUGGAAAGUUCACACUGUGACGGUAUCUUACCAGAAAGGGACGGCUAACUACGUG
Molecule: ribosomal RNA, 505 nt
Filed under: uncultured bacterium
Lineage: Bacteria
Description: partial 16S ribosomal RNA
Rfam family: Bacterial small subunit ribosomal RNA
Source: RNAcentral